RNAcentral lists this long non-coding RNA (1441 nucleotides) under Marmota monax (woodchuck). Lineage: Eukaryota; Metazoa; Chordata; Mammalia; Rodentia; Sciuridae. The record is from RNAcentral.
UGGGGAGGCUUGGAGUGGGGCCUCAUGGCGGAAGGUGGCAGGACCCAGCCCCCUCCCCGGCCUGCAAAUGACCCAGGGGACUGCAGCCUGGGCGUCUCGGCCUUCUUUGCUCUUCCUUUCCUCCAGGUCGCCUGUUCUGAUCCGAUCUGGCCCACGCCCUCUAGAGAGGGCGCUCCCCACCCGGGGCAGUGGCAGCCUUCCUGUGGGGACAGGCCCCGGCCCAUCCCUCCUGCGGAGCCACCUGCACUGGCCGCUGCGCAGACCCCGGCCUUGCCCCAUGCCCUCUAGAAAUCCUCCAAGUCACUGCGGCCUCUGUGCCAGGGCUGAGGACAGGUGCCCAGGUUCUGGGUGUGCUGCCCUGGUUAAAGCUCCUCUCGUGCUUCCCACGGUGACCGUUCUGCUCGGCUUUGGGAGCAGUGGCCAGACCUGAUUUGUCGUGACAGAGGCAGGUGAGGACAGAGCCUGGGGCUGCGGCCGGUUCCUGACACCCCACGUGUGCAAAGGCUCUGGCUCCUGUGGGAGGUGCUUGGUGGGUGAGGAGGUGCAGGUAGGGUGCGGAGGGUUUCCCCAGUGCGGGCAGGACUGGAAGAGGCCAGCGGGCAGGGGCCAGGCCUGUGAGGACAUGAGGGCCAGGGCCCAAGGCAACGAGUGGGGCAGUGAUGACUGGUCCUGCCUGCGCCCUCCCCGCCCCACAGCACACGCACCCGGGUUGCCAACGUGGAAAGCCUUCUGGAAAUAUGCUCAGAGAUACCCAGUCCCUCCUCCAGAGUGAUUCACUCCUAGGUGGCGCCAGGACCAGUCACCCACCACCCUGGGCAGAGGGCCAUUUCCACGCCUCUGCUGAGCAUGAGAACUAAUUGUCCUGUGUGGCCUCCCACCACCUGCUCAGGCCAGGCCCGCCUUUCCCUCUUCCUCCUUCUCAGGUGAGGAGAGGUGCCCAUCACGCCUAGGCCACAGGGUGGUCUCCUCCUCAGCAGGGCACGGGUGUGGCUCCAGCAGCCACUCCAGGAAGUGCUGAGUGUCCGAGUGAGCCCUGGGCUUCAGCCUGCCUCCUGCAGGGGCCCUGGCAUGGGCAGUAGAGCCGUGGGAGCCGCGGGUUGGAGCCCAUCUGUCUCCUCAGUCUGCUGGGCGCUGCCCUCGACUUGUGAAUCCGCAUGAUUCCCAGUCCCCACGCGGUCUCACACACAGCCCGCAGCUCCUUGGGGGGCGUGUGCCCCUCUGUGUUCCUGGCAGGCCUGCGGCCUUCACCGGGCUUCCCUGCCCACCAGAGGGGUGGCACUCUGCUGGCCGUGCUGGUCCCGCCCCCAUUUCCUAGGGUGAGGCAGGGGUGCGCCUGCCCCUGCGUCCUGCUGCCUGGGCACGGAGCGAGGGCGGAGCCGGGCAGAGAGAGGAGCCGGGUGGCGGCUGGAGGUCCUGGUCUGUGCGUGGUCAUGGAGGGUGG